Dermacentor andersoni is the source of this 1694-nucleotide non-coding RNA. The record is from RefSeq and is a predicted model, not a curated record. NCBI's taxonomy places the organism in Eukaryota, Metazoa, Arthropoda, Arachnida, Ixodida, Ixodidae.
UUUUCCAGCUGUCACUGCAGUAAGCAUUUUGUUUCAACUUUCCUGAAUAUGUAGCUAGCCACAUAUUGAACAACGGCCCAAUAUCUCGGGAGCAGCUAGAAGUAGUGUCAUAUUGGCCCUUUGUUUAACCAUUCACUCCAAUGGCAGAAUGUUGGGCUGCAAAAUAUUUGUAAGCUGUUAUGGCUCGUGAUUAGCAUACAAAACUGCUAACCUGCUUUCUUUUCGUGCAACAAAUCUAUAUGCCAACAUAAUUUUCAAAAUUUGGUGUAGCUAAUUUGAGGCAGGCAUGCUCAGUGCACAAGCAAUCGCAUAAGACUAGCAUUCCGAGAGUAGUUUCUAAAGCUUUAUCAUUACUAAAACCAAAUAACAGAAUGAAGCAAGCAUUUCAAAUUUUUCAGGCAUUUUUAUUGUGCAUAAGAAAGCGAACAAAGGACAUAAAUACAGAAAAUAUGCCUGGCAUGAGAAGGAAAUGGUUCCAAGAACAGACACUGGCAUUAUUCUAAGCAGCCUGUAAGUUCAUCUUACAUCUUCACUAGCACAAAAUGCAUGCAGCUGCAGAAAUUGUAGCAUCUAAUUUCAGGAAACCCAUAAUGGAACUGUAAGGAAAGGUGCUGCAUUGUGCUGUAUUUGUAGAUGGCAUCUUUGUAAAAUUCUUGGCUUAUGCAUUGAAGAAAAAAGUUGCUUAGAAGUCGAGAAAGUGGAAGGUGAAUUUCUGAAUUUUGUGGCUCAUAUGCAGUACCGAAGAUUCCGUAGCGAUUAUGAUAAUUUCAAUGAAGUUUCAUUUACUUGCAUUCAUUUUAAUGCUGCUAAUGUCUGCAAAGCUUUGCCACACUAACUCAACAUUUUUUAACAUAAUCUGUUCCUUUUGCAUCCACCGACAAGAGGUUUAGGGCUGAAUGUCUUCAAAAUCCGUCGCAUUAUGUGGGAAUCGGAAUGAUGUUGCAGCCUGUUCCUCAUUUUUCCAUAUCCUGAAUAAAAUACAAAACACAAAUACAAUUCUCAAAAGUUACUUUCAGUUUUUAGCCAAGGUCUUGUGUUAGCAUGUUCUGUAUGUCAGUUUUUAUGUUGCUCUGUGUGUCUAGGCAGAGCUUACAUGUGGGUGGUGUUUCUCCUUAAUGUUCAUUAAAAGAGUGCACAAUAUUUUGUAAUUGCAACUAUCUUUUUCAUUCUCAUUGUUAUCAGACAUAAACCGUGUGCACAUAACUGUACACGUAGCACCUGGAGUAGAUCAAAACUCAGGACAGAGUCCAAAUUUCUCGUAGGUCUGGGAUGAGCACCAGAAAGGACUUCUGGCAGCAGCUGGUGACAGCAGCUUGGAGCUCUGCGGGGACGGGCGCUGUGACUCACCAGGCCACAGUGCCAAGUUCUUAACAUACUCGUUCUUGUGUCCUGGCACGGGAAAGAUAAUACACACUGAGCAAAUUCAAGUCAAAGAAAGUGCCCAAAUUCAGGCGAGCUCACAAAUGGAGAAAGAGGGCCUCAUCAGAGGUCUUCAAUUUCUCUGUGACCAGGGCAUCUCCAUAAGGUCCCUGACAACAGACCGCCAUACAGCAAUAAAGAAAUACAUGAGGCUGCAUUGCCCGGCCACCAAACACCAAUUUGACGUCUGGCACGUUGCAAAAGGCAUCAGAAGAAAAUUGACAGCUGCUUCACGGAAGGCCAGAUGCAGGGAGCUGUUGAGCUGGAUACAACCC